RNAcentral lists this long non-coding RNA (564 nucleotides) under Homo sapiens (human). RNAcentral describes it as "PRKAB1, TMEM233 and CCDC60 antisense RNA 1, transcript variant 4 (PRKAB1-AS1)". Lineage: Eukaryota; Metazoa; Chordata; Mammalia; Primates; Hominidae. The record is from RNAcentral.
ACCAGGACACCACGCCCCUCGGGCCGGGAGCCGGUUCCGGCUGAGUCGGCAGGGUUGCCGAGCUCUCGCAAUCGCGCUUUACCUGCCCAGGCAAGCCGCGGCAAGAACGCAAGGGGCGCGAAGAUAAACCGACACUUUCCCAACCGCUUCACCACCCCUCAGCGACUUCCGCUUCCGGCGACUCCAUGGGGAAACUGAAGCCCUAGAGGAAAAGAAGACUAAAUGUAUUACCAUCUGACCCACUUCCUGGCCAGCCUGUUCACCUGUCUGCUGUUCUUCAUUGUGGCAGGUGUAUGUGUGAGUUUGCAGCUCAAUCCUGGCCAAGGGGAUCCAAGGACUGCUGAAGAGGCAUGUCUGCACAUGUCACCUAGAACAUCUCCAGCCAUCAUGUGAUCUCUGGGGGAGGCAUUCCCAACUCUCUGAGAGAAGCAGACCAGAAAGAUGGAAAGAAAGCACCUGGCUCCAGGAUGAUGACAUUGAGCCGAUGAAUUAACCACCUUUGUGCUGCUCUAACCUUCAGAGUUCACCUUAACAUGAGAAAAUAAAACCCUUAUUGCUUAGCCA